GUCGAUUUGUACGUGACAAUUUCGCUGAAUUCAAAAUCAUAUUUAAUUAGUCAGGUGAAUAAUAACACGUGUUGAAUAUCGGCAGUAUCAUAAUCGUACUUACUGGAGUGAUGUGAUAACGGUGGAGUGGGAGUAGAAUGCCCUUCAGAAAAUACGCAUCACUUUCGUUCGAGGAAUGCGGUAUAAAGUGGGAUCUUCGAAGCGAUCCGUUUCGGUAAUUGACUGGCGUGCUGCAGCAUCUACGCAGCACCUGCACCAGCAGCACCUUCAGAUCGAACGGUGCCAGAGGCCCGACGAAACCAACUCUUCAAUGCUCCACCACGAUGAUCACCGCCAUCAUCGCAGUCGUCGCCAUCGUCGAUCUAAAAUAGAGGAAAUCAAAUUACACAAUCACAUUAUCGUAACGUUUAAUUAAAUAAUCACACAAUGAAUUCGAAUUAUCUCAUCUGUAUUCGAUCCCUUUGUUCCGCUUGUCAGAAACGGGAAUGAAAAAAACUUCAACGAUUAUUCGGUACAUACAACAUACCGUUAACAGCAGGAAAACGAAGGAGGAAACAUUGUGGCAUGAUGUGUAGUGUGGUACGAUAAACAUUCUGAGCGUAACAUGAAUAAUCUCAAUUAGUACAAUAAAUUGUUGGAGUGUCACACAAUACAAUCUGCGAGCUCAUGAUCUCAACUGAUGAUUUUUUUUUUUCUUAUCUCUUUUGAUUUUACUGUAUUUUGCCACAAAGACACAAGUAUUAUAAACGACUGUCAUGCGCCCGCUAUGUGAAAAAUGAAUUCUCAUCAUUUAUAGGCACCGUCCUUAGCGUAGAAUAAUCCUAAUCGAUGAAAAUGAUAGUAAUCAUAAUAAAUAUUACAAUAAUAACUGCACUAUCAAUUGUAUAUUGAACGAUUUUUUUUUCUUUUUCAUUUUUCAUUUUUCAAUUUUUUUUUUUUUCUCUUUAAUCCGUGUAUGCCACUUAUCUGUACAAACUAGUUUGUAAUAGUUCAACAUAUAUAAAACUCACUUCAACAUCGUAUCAUCAUCAACAUAGAUAACAACAAUAUCGAUAGCCAACAUAGUUAGUUACGUAGUUAUUCUGAUUUCACGUUGCUUUACGCCCUAAUUUUUUUUGUCUUUUUCUUCAAAUCUUUUUUUUACUAUAUAUUUCUAGGUAUAGUAAUUUAUUUUAUCUACAUUCUAAAUGAAAGUAACAAAAGGUUUCACCUUAUUGACCGCCGAUCAUUGUCACAAUUUGUUACAACGAAAUUAACUUUCGUUUUACUAAAAACCAAUAUAGUUAGUCAAUUAUCAUGC
This 1300-nucleotide unclassified non-coding RNA is filed under the name Athalia rosae (coleseed sawfly). RNAcentral describes it as "misc RNA ENSAEAG00005001911.1". The record is from RNAcentral. Lineage: Eukaryota; Metazoa; Arthropoda; Insecta; Hymenoptera; Athaliidae.